Molecule: ribosomal RNA, 253 nt
Filed under: uncultured bacterium
Lineage: Bacteria
Description: partial 16S ribosomal RNA
Rfam family: Bacterial small subunit ribosomal RNA
Source: RNAcentral
UACGUAGGUGGCGAGCGUUGUCCGGAUUUACUGGGCGUAAAGAGCGCGCAGGCGGUCGUGCAAGUCGCGUGUGAAAGCCCCCGGCUCAACUGGGGAGGGUCACGCGAUACUGCUCGACUCGAAGGCAGGAGAGGGGAGUGGAAUUCCCGGUGUAGUGGUGAAAUGCGUAGAUAUCGGGAGGAACACCAGUGGCGAAGGCGACUUCCUGGCCUGUUCUUGACGCUGAGGCGCGAAAGCUAGGGUAGCAAACGGG